Molecule: transfer RNA, 85 nt
Filed under: Sulfuritalea hydrogenivorans sk43H
Lineage: Bacteria; Pseudomonadati; Pseudomonadota; Betaproteobacteria; Nitrosomonadales; Sterolibacteriaceae
Also listed under: 8 other names
Description: tRNA-Leu (TAA) (tRNA-Leu-TAA-1-1)
Rfam family: tRNA
About the family: Transfer RNA (tRNA) molecules are approximately 80 nucleotides in length. Their secondary structure includes four short double-helical elements and three loops (D, anti-codon, and T loops). Further hydrogen bonds mediate the characteristic L-shaped molecular structure. tRNAs have two regions of fundamental functional importance: the anti-codon, which is responsible for specific mRNA codon recognition, and the 3' end, to which the tRNAs corresponding amino acid is attached (by aminoacyl-tRNA synthetases). tRNAs cope with the degeneracy of the genetic code in two manners: having more than one tRNA (with a specific anti-codon) for a particular amino acid; and 'wobble' base-pairing, i.e. permitting non-standard base-pairing at the 3rd anti-codon position.
Source: RNAcentral
GCCCGGAUGGUGAAAUUGGUAGACACAAGGGACUUAAAAUCCCUCGGCGCAAGCCAUACCGGUUCGAUUCCGGUUCCGGGCACCA